Long non-coding RNA from Onychostoma macrolepis, 658 nucleotides. RefSeq lists it as uncharacterized. The record is from RefSeq and is a predicted model, not a curated record. The transcript is spliced from 3 exons. NCBI's taxonomy places the organism in Eukaryota, Metazoa, Chordata, Actinopteri, Cypriniformes, Cyprinidae.
UAACCUAAAAUAUGUGCUGUAUACUGUUAAUGGGUGACGUCACUUACACGAAGCACAAAUUAACUGAAUCUAACAUUAGUUCAAAAGUGCUUUGAUCUUUCAUGGUAAAUGAAUAUUCAUAAAAAAAAAAAAAAGUUCUGUGGUUUCAGGAAUGAUAAUAUAAUCUUUCUACAAAGGAAGAGAAGCUCCAAGAUUUCAAAAUUUCUGAAGGGAGCUGCUGACAGAAAUGCAGGAAACACAGAUUAUGAUGGCCGUGCAGCAGAGGAGCGCAGAGUCUCCUGUCGGACAACAUCUCUAAGUCGCUAUGAACCAUGUGACUAGAUCCUAUGUACCCAGCCUCAACCAUUCAUCAGAAGGACUGUGAAAACGGAAAAUGAGAAGUUUUUGAAAAGAGGGGCAUUUCCUUCACCAAGUAAAAGUGUGGAGGAUUCAUCUGUCCUUCAUCGGCCCCCAUGAGGUGACUCGAUGUAGAAUAAAUCAACUUGCUUUAGGCUUGAAACGACUGAAAUCUUCUCGUGAGUUGAAAUCAUUUUAAACAUUCUUAAAAGUACUUCUCAUUUCUUGUGAAUGUAUUUUGUAGUACGUGUAAAACUUUUCCAAUGAAAGAACCUUUUUACCUUUAUUGAUACUGUAAUCAAGGUUGUUAAUGCUAUGGACU